RNAcentral lists this ribosomal RNA (402 nucleotides) under uncultured bacterium. Its description in RNAcentral is "bacterial SSU rRNA". It matches the Rfam family "Bacterial small subunit ribosomal RNA", at positions 355 to 774 of the family's 1533-position model. The record is from RNAcentral.
UGGGGAAUCUUGCACAAUGGGGGCAACCCUGAUGCAGCGACGCCGCGUGAGCGAUGAAGCCCUUCGGGGCGUAAAGCUCUUUCGACCGGAACGAUAAUGACGGUACCGGGAGAAGAAGCUGCGGCUAACUACGUGCCAGCAGCCGCGGUAAUACGUAGGCAGCAAGCGGUGUUCGGAGUUACUGGGCGUAAAGAGUGCGUAGGCGGUUUUCUAAGUUCGGUGUGAAAUCUCCCGGCUUAACUGGGAGGGUGCGCCGAAGACUGGGAAGCUGGAGUGUGGGAAAGGCAGGCGGAAUUCCUGGUGUAGCGGUGAAAUGCGUAGAUAUCAGGAGGAACACCGGCGGUGUAGACGGCUUGCUAAUCCAUAACUGACGCUGAGGCACGAAAGCGUGGGUAGCAAACA